UAAACAAGAGUCGGUUUAGAUAUCUGAUUGUUACUCAGAAGGAACAUGUGUUGUGUUUGUUUAG
This 64-nucleotide transfer RNA is filed under the name Kulikovia alborostrata. RNAcentral describes it as "tRNA-Asn". The record is from RNAcentral. Lineage: Eukaryota; Metazoa; Nemertea; Pilidiophora; Heteronemertea; Lineidae.